RNAcentral lists this ribosomal RNA (1542 nucleotides) under Burkholderia multivorans. Its description in RNAcentral is "bacterial SSU rRNA". It matches the Rfam family "Bacterial small subunit ribosomal RNA". Lineage: Bacteria; Pseudomonadati; Pseudomonadota; Betaproteobacteria; Burkholderiales; Burkholderiaceae. The record is from RNAcentral.
UAGAGUUUGAUCCUGGCUCAGAUUGAACGCUGGCGGCAUGCCUUACACAUGCAAGUCGAACGGCAGCACGGGUGCUUGCACCUGGUGGCGAGUGGCGAACGGGUGAGUAAUACAUCGGAACAUGUCCUGUAGUGGGGGAUAGCCCGGCGAAAGCCGGAUUAAUACCGCAUACGAUCUACGGAUGAAAGCGGGGGACCUUCGGGCCUCGCGCUAUAGGGUUGGCCGAUGGCUGAUUAGCUAGUUGGUGGGGUAAAGGCCUACCAAGGCGACGAUCAGUAGCUGGUCUGAGAGGACGACCAGCCACACUGGGACUGAGACACGGCCCAGACUCCUACGGGAGGCAGCAGUGGGGAAUUUUGGACAAUGGGCGAAAGCCUGAUCCAGCAAUGCCGCGUGUGUGAAGAAGGCCUUCGGGUUGUAAAGCACUUUUGUCCGGAAAGAAAUCCYUGGCUCUAAUACAGUCGGGGGAUGACGGUACCGGAAGAAUAAGCACCGGCUAACUACGUGCCAGCAGCCGCGGUAAUACGUAGGGUGCGAGCGUUAAUCGGAAUUACUGGGCGUAAAGCGUGCGCAGGCGGUCUGUUAAGACAGAUGUGAAAUCCCCGGGCUCAACCUGGGAACUGCAUUUGUGACUGGCAGGCUAGAGUAUGGCAGAGGGGGGUAGAAUUCCACGUGUAGCAGUGAAAUGCGUAGAGAUGUGGAGGAAUACCGAUGGCGAAGGCAGCCCCCUGGGCCAAUACUGACGCUCAUGCACGAAAGCGUGGGGAGCAAACAGGAUUAGAUACCCUGGUAGUCCACGCCCUAAACGAUGUCAACUAGUUGUUGGGGAUUCAUUUCCUUAGUAACGUAGCUAACGCGUGAAGUUGACCGCCUGGGGAGUACGGUCGCAAGAUUAAAACUCAAAGGAAUUGACGGGGACCCGCACAAGCGGUGGAUGAUGUGGAUUAAUUCGAUGCAACGCGAAAAACCUUACCUACCCUUGACAUGGUCGGAAUCCUGAAGAGAUUCGGGAGUGCUCGAAAGAGAACCGGCGCACAGGUGCUGCAUGGCUGUCGUCAGCUCGUGUCGUGUCAGCUCGUGUCGUGAGAUGUUGGGUUAAGUCCCGCAACGAGCGCAACCCUUGUCCUUAGUUGCUACGCAAGAGCACUCUAAGGAGACUGCCGGUGACAAACCGGAGGAAGGUGGGGAUGACGUCAAGUCCUCAUGGCCCUUAUGGGUAGGGCUUCACACGUCAUACAAUGGUCGGAACAGAGGGUUGCCAACCCGCGAGGGGGAGCUAAUCCCAGAAAACCGAUCGUAGUCCGGAUUGCACUCUGCAACUCGAGUGCAUGAAGCUGGAAUCGCUAGUAAUCGCGGAUCAGCAUGCCGCGGUGAAUACGUUCCCGGGUCUUGUACACACCGCCCGUCACACCAUGGGAGUGGGUUUUACCAGAAGUGGCUAGUCUAACCGCAAGGAGGACGGUCACCACGGUAGGAUUCAUGACUGGGGUGAAGUCGUAACAAGGUAGCCGUAUCGGAAGGUGCGGCUGGAUCACCUCCUUA